Long non-coding RNA from Ruditapes philippinarum (Manila clam), 968 nucleotides. RefSeq lists it as uncharacterized. The transcript is spliced from 2 exons. The record is from RefSeq and is a predicted model, not a curated record. NCBI's taxonomy places the organism in Eukaryota, Metazoa, Mollusca, Bivalvia, Venerida, Veneridae.
CCCUGCAGAGAUAUUUCAGUACAUCACAAAAUGUCAGAAGAAAAUGUUCAAUGAAAACAAUAUUUUUCAGAUUCACAGAUUACUAAAGAGACAGACAAAAACGAGUACGAGAAGAUUAAUUCCCUUCAAGUUUCAGAACACGAGUAUGGGCAUAUUACGGUCGGUGUUUAAAGUAUCGGUAAGUGUAGUAAUGACUCGUUAUAACACGAUUUAUUUCACUUAAAGUAUGAUAUUGUAUGUAAGAACACACUUUAUGCGUUUAAACUUGUUCAGUGCAACAUCAUUAUUUUCUUUUUUACAGAUAAAGCUGUAAAGAAGAUAUAAGAGAAUGCAGAACAAAUGAGCUGUUUCAACAGCAUUAUAUGACUUUUGUUUGAAAAGAAUUUGUUCCUAUUACUGUAUAUAACUAACGCAUACUUACCAUUUUUCAUUUUCGAAUCACAAAGUUAUCACUCAUCAGUGAAAGCGCCUCUUUCACAAAAUGCUUAUAAGUAUCAAGGUGAAAGGAGUUGUUGACUAGGACUUUGUUCCUCCGAGUCGGCAAACAACAUCAACAUGCUAAGCUUAGAACCAUUUCCGUGAUGUUAUAAGUUUUAUGUAUAAAUGUGUACAUAUUAAUAUAAAAAAUGUAUUUGCUUUAUGUUAAGUAAUUUUGAUGUAUAUAAUGUAUAUGUCCCUUUCUUCUUCAGUCUUUUUUCAUCUACGUUAGUGUAAGAGUUGUUGUGUGUACAUGUCUUUUGGUUGAAUGGUUUGGCACAGACGUGUCACAUUAAUGGUUCCACGAUAACCGCCUUCCGAAGUCAUCUGCGAAACUUUCUAAUUUCAAAAGAUCACCAUUUUUAUGUUUAAAUGUUGAGUGCGAUAAUGUGUGCACGCUUUUCUGACAUAGUUCUCUUUUAAUUUUGUUAUGAUUUAAGAUAUACAUAAUUAUUCCUUUGUUGUAUAUAAAUAAAUAAAAAGUAAGCAUG